CUUUCAUCGUUUGGACGUUUGGAAAUAUUGAGGAAGCGAUAUAAAAUCAUGGACCAAGGUAAUCAGAGGUGGUAAUUAACUAAUUAUUGAAUGAAGUAAGUCAAGGUGGGUAGGUUGCAAUCAUAGUAUAGUAUUGCCAAGUUCAACGAAGCAAACACGAGCAACUACGAAUACAUCCGAAAAACUUCAAUUGGGGUAGCAAACCACCCUAGCUGAAUGGCAGGUGCAUUCCUCACCAGCUGUGGGCCGAAACCAUGACAACGACACAAAUCUGUAUUCAGUUUAGUAAGUGUUAAGAGUUUAGAAAAAUAAAUUUUCAAUAUUUAAUAACUUAUAAGAUGGCCGACUGUAUUGCUAGAGUUGCAAUUAUUGUUCAAUUUAUAUUGUUGGCAAUUCUGUGGACUGAAGUCAUCGAAAUUGAACUCGACGGAGAAGAUAUCGCUCACAGCACUAAAAUAUCACCCUUGCAAAAAUUAUGGCUUGCUAUUGAUUGGAAACGUAUUUUCGUCGGUGGUGUUUUUGGUAUGAUAAUCGGUAUGAUCUUUGCUGCUGUUGAAGCAUGUGUCACUCGCAUCUAUCGUCAACUAAGAGUAAGAUCGCUGAAGCAGAAAACGCAGGAUUCAAUGAAAAAAUCCGCAAAUGAUAAUUUACAAGAGGUGAAAAUUGAAACCAACAAGACUCUAAAACUUUAACUCUAGCUGUUAUUUUAAUUCCAGUAUUAAUUAUGAGAAAUCCACUCUAUUUCAAGACUGACGAUUCUUUGUGAUACCUAUGUGAAAACUUUUACUUAUUAAUUUUUCAAUGAGACAUUUAAGUACCUAUGUUAUUGUUUUGCAAGUUGUAUACCUACAGGGUGAGGCAUGGGAACCUGACACAUUUGUUUUGUCCAGCGCGUCAAGAGGAAUGAUAGGCGGGACUUCCGCGACCCCGCGUCUGAAAGUAGAAGGAUGAAGGUUUUUUUUCUUUUUAGUAGCUUGCGAAUAUUCAUCACUGGAUGAUGGUGCAUCAUACGUUUAUUUUUGAGCAGAUUUAUGGCCACGGCUCAUAUAUUACGAGGGGCGGUUAAAGAGUAAUGCAUCCUGCGUUCAUGUGGCAAGCCUAAUUCAAGUAUUGAACUGAGUGAGUGCUUAUUUUGUAGCCUGAAGUCUCAGGAACACGAUGGUGUAUUCACUUUUUUGAUACGAUUCAUAGAAAAAAUGUUGAACAAACCCGAAGUUUCUGGAAAAGAUUUUCAUUUUAUGGUCAACACAGGAUACAGUCAACGAGUCAUCAACGAAGUAGGUGUAGGUACACAAUUCGCCAGUCCCCGAUCCGUCAGAGUGCGCUAGUGUGGUCGUUGGUGAUGAGACCAUUCUAGGAUUGUGCAGGUAUCCUAUGAUGAGAUCUGUAUUAAUAUUGAAUGGAAGCAAAUUAAUGCGUAACGUUGAAAUCCGUUUUUCUCGGAACUGAAGGGGUUUAGGAAAAUUUUUGUCAGAACAUAAAUUGAAGAGGACGAAAUUUCCUAUCGAUUGGUAUAUUUUUCUUCGAGUUUCGUACAGAAAUGGCGAUUUUUUUAAACAUUUUUAUGGACAGAUUUUUUAAAAUGUCAACUUUAAAUUGAAAUUACGGAAAAUUUUCAGUGGACACAUAGGUACUUUAAUAUACCAAAAUGUUCAGAAUUUCAUCCCCUUUCAAAUGGUUUUUUACCGAAAGCGCUAGCAGUUACCGUUCAAAAGUUUCCAAAGUUCAAAGCUUUGAACUUUCACAACUUUUGAUCGAAAAGUCCUAGAGCUCUGGGGAAAAAACGAGGUUGUAGAGGAGAAAGAGUAGAUCAUUUUUCAUGUUUCAAACACCUAUGUGCUCGAUCAAAUUUUCGAUUUAUUAAAGUUCAAAGUUUCAAGGUUGAAAUUUUUUUACAUUUAAAUUAAAAUAAAUCAAAAUUUUGAUCGAGCACAUAGGUUUUUGAAGAAUGAAAAAUGAUCUACUUUCUUUCCUCUACAAUCUGGUUUUUAAUUCAAAUCUGUAGCAUUAACCAUUCAAAAAUUAUUCAAGAAAAACUAAGAAAUUGGGCAAGAUACCAUAAGACAAUCGAGUGGCUAUCCUAGGAUGGGGUAAUUCACAACUUCUCCACCAGAGCGCGUAUCUUUGGUGGGGACUUGCGAAUCAUGCGCGUUUUUUCUUCCGCAACUGAAGGGAAACGAUCGUCUGAGUCGUGUUGAGUCGCGCCUGGCGUCUGAAAGAUGGCGCUACGUGCCACAAUUCCGAAAAAACAUUUCAGUAUCGAAUAAUUUUUACGCAACGCUGAUUUUGUCUGGCUGCCGCGUUCGCCAGAUUUAUCUUAUUGUAAUUACCAUCUGUAGGAUACUUGAAGUCCGGAGUGAAAAUAAAUGAACCAAAAACCCUCCAACAAUUAAAACGAAAUAUUAUGAGUGAAAUCGGUGAAAUUUCGGGAGAAUUUUUGAAAAAGUUUGAGAAAAUUUCCCGAAAAAACCUUGAAAAUUGUAUCGUUAAAGAGGGCGAUCAUUUAAGCAGCAUAAUUUUUAAAACUAAGUGAUAAAUAAACCUUCAUCUUUCUACUAUUUUUUGGUGUAUUUAUUUUUUCAAAUGGUUCAGACUGAGUUAGAGUUUUUGCAGUUGUAAAUGUGUCAGGUUCCCGUGCCUCACCCUGUAUUUAAAAAAAUUGUACAAGGUAACUUCGAAUACAUUUAUGUUUCUGUCAUUGAGAUGGAUUUUGGAAGUAGUCGAGCUAGAUAACGAGAGUGAAGCAAACAUUUUCAGCUCGAAAGCCAACUAUUUCAGAAAUCAUGACAGUGAAGUUGAUGCUUCGGUUGAAAAAAUGACACCAAAAAAAUGUACCUAUCUUAAAAUGAUUACAAUUUUACAUAAUUAUGUAUCUAGUAUAACAUUUUUUAUACAAAUAUUGUUCUUGUAAGGAAAAGUGCCAUUCUUAAUAAAUUUUCGGCGAAAAA
This is a long non-coding RNA of Planococcus citri (citrus mealybug), 2948 nucleotides long. RefSeq lists it as uncharacterized. The record is from RefSeq and is a predicted model, not a curated record. NCBI's taxonomy places the organism in Eukaryota, Metazoa, Arthropoda, Insecta, Hemiptera, Pseudococcidae. The transcript has 3 exons.